This 2793-nucleotide ribosomal RNA is filed under the name Escherichia coli. Its description in RNAcentral is "partial 23S ribosomal RNA". It matches the Rfam family "Bacterial large subunit ribosomal RNA". Lineage: Bacteria; Pseudomonadati; Pseudomonadota; Gammaproteobacteria; Enterobacterales; Enterobacteriaceae. The record is from RNAcentral.
GGUUAAGCGACUAAGCGUACACGGUGGAUGCCCUGGCAGUCAGAGGCGAUGAAGGACGUGCUAAUCUGCGAUAAGCGUCGGUAAGGUGAUAUGAACCGUUAUAACCGGCGAUUUCCGAAUGGGGAAACCCAGUGUGUUUCGACACACUAUCAUUAACUGAAUCCAUAGGUUAAUGAGGCGAACCGGGGGAACUGAAACAUCUAAGUACCCCGAGGAAAAGAAAUCAACCGAGAUUCCCCCAGUAGCGGCGAGCGAACGGGGAGGAGCCCAGAGCCUGAAUCAGUGUGUGUGUUAGUGGAAGCGUCUGGAAAGGCGCGCGAUACAGGGUGACAGCCCCGUACACAAAAAUGCACAUAUUGUGAGCUCGAUGAGUAGGGCGGGACACGUGGUAUCCUGUCUGAAUAUGGGGGGACCAUCCUCCAAGGCUAAAUACUCCUGACUGACCGAUAGUGAACCAGUACCGUGAGGGAAAGGCGAAAAGAACCCCGGCGAGGGGAGUGAAAAAGAACCUGAAACCGUGUACGUACAAGCAGUGGGAGCACGCUUCGGCGUGUGACUGCGUACCUUUUGUAUAAUGGGUCAGCGACUUAUAUUCUGUAGCAAGGUUAACCGAAUAGGGGAGCCGAAGGGAAACCGAGUCUUAACUGGGCGUUAAGUUGCAGGGUAUAGACCCGAAACCCGGUGAUCUAGCCAUGGGCAGGUUGAAGGUUGGGUAACACUAACUGGAGGACCGAACCGACUAAUGUUGAAAAAUUAGCGGAUGACUUGUGGCUGGGGGUGAAAGGCCAAUCAAACCGGGAGAUAGCUGGUUCUCCCCGAAAGCUAUUUAGGUAGCGCCUCGUGAAUUCAUCUCCGGGGGUAGAGCACUGUUUCGGCAAGGGGGUCAUCCCGACUUACCAACCCGAUGCAAACUGCGAAUACCGGAGAAUGUUAUCACGGGAGACACACGGCGGGUGCUAACGUCCGUCGUGAAGAGGGAAACAACCCAGACCGCCAGCUAAGGUCCCAAAGUCAUGGUUAAGUGGGAAACGAUGUGGGAAGGCCCAGACAGCCAGGAUGUUGGCUUAGAAGCAGCCAUCAUUUAAAGAAAGCGUAAUAGCUCACUGGUCGAGUCGGCCUGCGCGGAAGAUGUAACGGGGCUAAACCAUGCACCGAAGCUGCGGCAGCGACGCUGAUGCGUUGUUGGGUAGGGGAGCGUUCUGUAAGCCUGCGAAGGUGUGCUGUGAGGCAUGCUGGAGGUAUCAGAAGUGCGAAUGCUGACAUAAGUAACGAUAAAGCGGGUGAAAAGCCCGCUCGCCGGAAGACCAAGGGUUCCUGUCCAACGUUAAUCGGGGCAGGGUGAGUCGACCCCUAAGGCGAGGCCGAAAGGCGUAGUCGAUGGGAAACAGGUUAAUAUUCCUGUACUUGGUGUUACUGCGAAGGGGGGACGGAGAAGGCUAUGUUGGCCGGGCGACGGUUGUCCCGGUUUAAGCGUGUAGGCUGGUUUUCCAGGCAAAUCCGGAAAAUCAAGGCUGAGGCGUGAUGACGAGGCACUACGGUGCUGAAGCAACAAAUGCCCUGCUUCCAGGAAAAGCCUCUAAGCAUCAGGUAACAUCAAAUCGUACCCCAAACCGACACAGGUGGUCAGGUAGAGAAUACCAAGGCGCUUGAGAGAACUCGGGUGAAGGAACUAGGCAAAAUGGUGCCGUAACUUCGGGAGAAGGCACGCUGAUAUGUAGGUGAAGUCCCUUGCGGAUGGAGCUGAAAUCAGUCGAAGAUACCAGCUGGCUGCAACUGUUUAUUAAAAACACAGCACUGUGCAAACACGAAAGUGGACGUAUACGGUGUGACGCCUGCCCGGUGCCGGAAGGUUAAUUGAUGGGGUCAGCGCAAGCGAAGCUCUUGAUCGAAGCCCCGGUAAACGGCGGCCGUAACUAUAACGGUCCUAAGGUAGCGAAAUUCCUUGUCGGGUAAGUUCCGACCUGCACGAAUGGCGUAAUGAUGGCCAGGCUGUCUCCACCCGAGACUCAGUGAAAUUGAACUCGCUGUGAAGAUGCAGUGUACCCGCGGCAAGACGGAAAGACCCCGUGAACCUUUACUAUAGCUUGACACUGAACAUUGAGCCUUGAUGUGUAGGAUAGGUGGGAGGCUUUGAAGUGUGGACGCCAGUCUGCAUGGAGCCGACCUUGAAAUACCACCCUUUAAUGUUUGAUGUUCUAACGUUGACCCGUAAUCCGGGUUGCGGACAGUGUCUGGUGGGUAGUUUGACUGGGGCGGUCUCCUCCUAAAGAGUAACGGAGGAGCACGAAGGUUGGCUAAUCCUGGUCGGACAUCAGGAGGUUAGUGCAAUGGCAUAAGCCAGCUUGACUGCGAGCGUGACGGCGCGAGCAGGUGCGAAAGCAGGUCAUAGUGAUCCGGUGGUUCUGAAUGGAAGGGCCAUCGCUCAACGGAUAAAAGGUACUCCGGGGAUAACAGGCUGAUACCGCCCAAGAGUUCAUAUCGACGGCGGUGUUUGGCACCUCGAUGUCGGCUCAUCACAUCCUGGGGCUGAAGUAGGUCCCAAGGGUAUGGCUGUUCGCCAUUUAAAGUGGUACGCGAGCUGGGUUUAGAACGUCGUGAGACAGUUCGGUCCCUAUCUGCCGUGGGCGCUGGAGAACUGAGGGGGGCUGCUCCUAGUACGAGAGGACCGGAGUGGACGCAUCACUGGUGUUCGGGUUGUCAUGCCAAUGGCACUGCCCGGUAGCUAAAUGCGGAAGAGAUAAGUGCUGAAAGCAUCUAAGCACGAAACUUGCCCCGAGAUGAGUUCUCCCUGAC